Astatotilapia calliptera (eastern happy) is the source of this 963-nucleotide long non-coding RNA. The record is from Ensembl. Lineage: Eukaryota; Metazoa; Chordata; Actinopteri; Cichliformes; Cichlidae.
ACGGAGGGGGUCAGUCGUUGGGAUGCGCAUGCGCAGACAGAGUGUGCGAGCGGCGGGCCUUGACCUUUUGGGGGAAAAAAACUCACGGACGGUGACAGCGAAACGGAUAACAGUCUUCAGUACCUGCUGGACUUUGAAGCUGUGGAUUCUGGGACUGUUAGAAAAGCUCCAACAAAAUGAGGAAGAGGAGAAACACAAUUAGGUUGAAUUACAAUUGGAUGGAAGGCGAGGACAAGGAGAAGGAAGCUUAGGAUGAGGAGGAAGAGAAGCAGCAGGAGCAUCUUUAGGGAUCCCUAUGAUGUCAUUGAGAGGCGGCGGCGAGAGGGGAGACCUCUGCUCAUCCAGCUGGAGAGCCUGACCAGGAGGAGUCGAACAUUAACUCAGCUCUUUCAGGGCACCCUGCAGACUCGGCUGUUGGCAUCGACGAGGGAUGACGUGAACGCCAAACUGGAGUCCAUCACAGGUCAACUGCAGCUCCUUGUCUCAGAGUGGGAGGGGUUUGAAGCACAAAGGGAGGAACUUGUCGUUUGGUUGGCUGAUAUGGAUGUGAGGUUGACCAGCUGACAGGAAACACCAGUGAAAAACUGAAACAACUGCAGCCAAUCGGUGAAGCUCUAGGCAGCUCUUGUCCCUCCUUAGUACCAGCUCCCAAGUUUUCAGUCUCUUGCUUCUACAGCCGAACAGAGCAGACGGACUAAAACUUUUGUUAUCGGGCAGAGCGAAACCGGAGGGUUUACUGAGCUGUGGCUCCAUGUAAAUGCUGAGCAUCCACUCGACGGCGGUCAGGUUUUUAUAUGGGACGAAUCCAAAGACCAGGUCAGCGAUUCCAGAACCCAGAGUGUUCCAGUGUUCACUGGAUGGCGAGCCAACCCAAGAUCCUAGGAGGCGAUAUACAUAUACACGCACGAUCAUUUGCACAUUGAUGGACUACAAUCCUCUACUGUACAAGUAGUACGGUAGGAC